This 301-nucleotide ribosomal RNA is filed under the name uncultured bacterium. RNAcentral's name for it is "partial 16S ribosomal RNA". It matches the Rfam family "Bacterial small subunit ribosomal RNA", at positions 509 to 807 of the family's 1533-position model. The record is from RNAcentral.
CAGUAGCCGCGGUAAAACGUAGGGUGCAAGCGUUAAUCGGAAUUACUGGGCGUAAAGCGUGCGCAGGCGGUUAUAUAAGUCAGAUGUGAAAUCCCCGGGCUCAACCUGGGAACUGCAUUUGAGACUGUAUGGCUAGAGUGUGUCAGAAGGGGGAAGAAUUCCACGUGUAGCAGUGAAAUGCGUAGAUAUGUGGAGGAAUACCGAUGGCGAAGGCAGCCCCCUGGGAUAACACUGGCGCUCAUGCACGAAAGCGUGGGGAGCAAACAGGAUUAGAUACCCGCGUAGUCCCUGUCUCUUAUAC